Molecule: non-coding RNA, 344 nt
Organism: Paramuricea clavata
Lineage: Eukaryota; Metazoa; Cnidaria; Anthozoa; Malacalcyonacea; Plexauridae
Source: the annotation of a GenBank genome assembly
CUGGCGAUACAUCACAGCAUGGUAAAAAUAUAUCAAGGAUCGCAAAAACUAUAACACUAAAAUUUGUAUCAACAUUAAGAACUAGUACAGUCAUGUUAUUACUGAUAUGGGCUUAUGAUGUUAUCUAAUUUCCAUAUCAAUUGUUAAUCUGUAAUGGUUAGUAGUACUAGGGAGGUCUAGAUCCAGUACGGAAACAAGUUCGACUAACAUUUUAACUUUAAUGUGGCUGAAUACAAUUUUUGAAAAACAUCCGCAUAGUUCGAAUUUAUAUAAAAGUAAUACAACUGCUGUUGCUAUGGCAACAAUGACGUUUUAAUAUGGCGGAUAUAUUUUGGCUUUAAAGU